RNAcentral lists this ribosomal RNA (253 nucleotides) under uncultured bacterium. RNAcentral's name for it is "partial 16S ribosomal RNA". It matches the Rfam family "Bacterial small subunit ribosomal RNA", at positions 524 to 776 of the family's 1533-position model. The record is from RNAcentral.
UACGGAGGGGGCUAGCGUUGUUCGGAAUUACUGGGCGUAAAGCGCACGUAGGCGGCUUUGUAAGUUAGAGGUGAAAGCCCGGGGCUCAACUCCGGAAUUGCCUUUAAGACUGCAUCGCUAGAAUUGUGGAGAGGUAAGUGGAAUUCCGAGUGUAGAGGUGAAAUUCGUAGAUAUUCGGAAGAACACCGGUGGCGAAGGCGGCUUCCUGGACCGACACUGACGCUGAGGCGCGAAAGCUAGGGGAGCAAACGGG